Long non-coding RNA from Alnus glutinosa, 654 nucleotides. RefSeq lists it as uncharacterized. The transcript is spliced from 2 exons. The record is from RefSeq and is a predicted model, not a curated record. NCBI's taxonomy places the organism in Eukaryota, Viridiplantae, Streptophyta, Magnoliopsida, Fagales, Betulaceae.
GAUAUUUUAAUUGUAAACCUAAGAAUAUUUCUAUGUACAUGUUUAGUUAGUUAAUGGAUAAUAAAGUAAACCCUAUAAUUUUAUGGGUUAGUAAUUGUAGAUAAUAAAAGGUUGAAUGGAACCUUAAAACUUUAUGGGCUCAACUUUUAAACAUGUACAAAGAGAAGCACGAGUUUAGGAGUAUGAGUGCUAAUGUAAGGUGCAAUCUAAUGCAGCUACACAUUGCGCAGCUUUGAGUGAGGAUAAUCCCGCGAAGCCACGGAUUUUGCAAGAAGGUGAAGCUUCUUUGGAUGCAGGUAUUGAUGAUGCGGAGGAGGACUCCGUUGCACACUAUGUGGAGUACUACGACUAAGCACGUCGCUUGAGUCGUAGGAGUGUCGGACUUGGAUAGUCCCUUUUGUGUAUUUUGUAUAUGGCUAGUGUGACUUAUAACACGUAGAUGUAGCCAUUCUUUUGUAUGCAUAAUUUUAUGCUUAAGUCCCCUUUGCGUAUUUUGUAUAUGGCUAGUGUGACUUGUGACACGUAGAGGUAGCCAUUCUUUUGUAUGCAUAACUUAUGCUUAAGCCUUAAGCAGAUAGACAUUAACAGGCUCUUUUGUGUAAUGAACAGCUUAUGAUUAUAAUGUUGACUUCCGCAGUUAGAUUUCGUAUUCCA